GAUGAACGCUGGCGGCGUGCCUAAUACAUGCGAGUCGAGCGAACAGAUGAGGAGCUUGCUCCUCUGACGUUAGCGGCGGACGGGUGAGUAACACGUGGAUAACCUACCUAUAAGACUGGGAUAACUUCGGGAAACCGGAGCUAAUACCGGAUAAUAUAUUGAACCGCAUGGUUCAAUAGUGAAAGGCGGUUUUGCUGUCACUUAUAGAUGGAUCCGCGCCGCAUUAGCUAGUUGGUAAGGUAACGGCUUACCAAGGCAACGAUGCGUAGCCGACCUGAGAGGGUGAUCGGCCACACUGGAACUGAGACACGGUCCAGACUCCUACGGGAGGCAGCAGUAGGGAAUCUUCCGCAAUGGGCGAAAGCCUGACGGAGCAACGCCGCGUGAGUGAUGAAGGUCUUCGGAUCGUAAAACUCUGUUAUUAGGGAAGAACAAAUGUGUAAGUAACUAUGCACGUCUUGACGGUACCUAAUCAGAAAGCCACGGCUAACUACGUG
This 497-nucleotide ribosomal RNA is filed under the name uncultured bacterium. Its description in RNAcentral is "partial 16S ribosomal RNA". It matches the Rfam family "Bacterial small subunit ribosomal RNA", at positions 28 to 507 of the family's 1533-position model. The record is from RNAcentral.